This 200-nucleotide ribosomal RNA is filed under the name uncultured bacterium. RNAcentral's name for it is "partial 16S ribosomal RNA". It matches the Rfam family "Bacterial small subunit ribosomal RNA", at positions 8 to 212 of the family's 1533-position model. The record is from RNAcentral.
AGAGUUUGAUCAUGGCUCAGGACGAACGCUGGCGGCGUGCCUAAUACAUGCAAGUCGAGCGGACCCUUCGGGGUUAGCGGCGGACGGGUGAGUAACACGUAGGCAACCUGCCUGUAAGAUUGGGAUAACUACCGGAAACGGUAGCUAAGACCGGAUAGCUGGUUUUCUCGCAUGAGGGGAUCAUGAAACACGGGGCAACC